This is a non-coding RNA of Paramuricea clavata, 727 nucleotides long. The record is from the annotation of a GenBank genome assembly. NCBI's taxonomy places the organism in Eukaryota, Metazoa, Cnidaria, Anthozoa, Malacalcyonacea, Plexauridae.
GAAAGCUAUCCUAAGUAUCAGUUGUAAAAGUAGCCUAAGAAUGCUCAAUACGCAUUCAGCAGAAUAGCUUAAGCCUAAAUUUUUGUCGGGGAAAUAAACAAUGGAUUGGUUUCUUUCGCCCAAAAUCGUGAUGGAAAUAAAGUCCAUCCAGUGAAGACGUCAGGUUCCAGGAUUGCAUAACCACUCCGGAACAUAAUCCGUGUUUUGUACGUAGAAUAUCGUUCUUAUAUUGUUUUGAUUGGUCACACGUGCACUUCCUGUUUUGAAGACAGUCACUUCCGGUGCAAAUCACAAGACGAAUUAGCUAGACUCAUGAAUGGCGACUGUCAGAUGUUUUUUAUCCUUAUUUGUGAUCGUUUUUACAACGAUCCUAUCAUGGACUGUUGUUAUUAUGAUCGACUUUUAUUCUGGCCAUGGCAAGAGCUUGACCCCUCAUAAAUUAUCAGAUAAUCCGCCGUUCCCCGGCGGGAAAAUGAACAAUUUAUUUUGGAUUGUACAGGUACUGUUCAAUAUACUUGUGUGUGAAUAUUAAAAUCUUGUAUAUUAUUAUAUUUUUGUUGCAGAAUAUAUUUUAAUUAAGUGUCAUAUUCAUGCGAGUAAUUUUAUUAUAGAUAAAAGCGAGGUCACUUUCAAGUGGUCAAACCUUUCGUUGUUAUGUCUUCGAAAUAAAAAUAUCUAAACAAAGUUAACAAACCGUACAUUGUAAACAAAAAUAAGUAUAUAUCGU